Molecule: ribosomal RNA, 724 nt
Filed under: uncultured bacterium
Lineage: Bacteria
Description: bacterial SSU rRNA
Rfam family: Bacterial small subunit ribosomal RNA
Source: RNAcentral
GAUGAACGCUGACAGAAUGCUUAACACAUGCAAGUCUACUUGAUCCUUCGGGUGAUGGUGGCGGACGGGUGAGUAACGCGUAAAGAACUUGCCCUGCAGUCUAGGACAACAUUUGGAAACGAAUGCUAAUACCGGAUAUUAUGUGAGUUUCGCAUGAAAUUCAUAUGAAAGCUAUAUGCGCUGCAGGAGAGCUUUGCGUCCUAUUAGCUAGUUGGUGAGGUAACGGCUCACCAAGGCGAUGAUAGGUAGCCGGCCUGAGAGGGUGAACGGCCACAAGGAGACUGAGACACGGCCCUUACUCCUACGGGAGGCAGCAGUGGGGAAUAUUGGACAAUGGACCAAAAGUCUGAUCCAGCAAUUCCGUGUGCACGAUGAAGUUUUUCGGAAUGUAAAGUGCUUUCAGUUGGGACGAAGUAAGUGACGGUACCAACAGAAGAAGCGACGGCUAAAUACGUGCCAGCAGCCGCGGUAAUACGUAUGUCGCAAGCGUUAUCCGGAUUUAUUGGGCGUAAAGCGCGUCUAGGCGGUUUGGUAAGUCUGAUGUGAAAAUGCGGGGCUCAACUCCGUAUUGCGUUGGAAACUGCCAAACUAGAGUACUGGAGAGGUGGGCGGAACUACAAGUGUAGAGGUGAAAUUCGUAGAUAUUUGUAGGAAUGCCGAUGGGGAAGCCAGCCCACUGGACAGAUACUGACGCUAAAGCGCGAAAGCGUGGGUAGCANACAGG